RNAcentral lists this unclassified non-coding RNA (324 nucleotides) under soil metagenome. RNAcentral's name for it is "partial contains 5.8S ribosomal RNA, internal transcribed spacer 2, and large subunit ribosomal RNA". The stretch from base 1 to 120 matches the Rfam family "5.8S ribosomal RNA", at positions 35 to 154 of the family's 154-position model. The record is from RNAcentral.
GAUGAAGAACGCAGCAAAAUGCGAUAAGUAAUGCGAAUUGCAGAAUUCAGUGAGUCAUCGAAUCUUUGAACGCACAUUGCGCCCUGUGGUAUUCCGCAGGGCAUGCCUGUUCGAGCGUCAUUUCAACCCUCAAGCCCCGCUUGGUGUUGGGCCCCGCCCGCUGUGGCCGGCCCUAAAGACAGUGGCGGCGCCGCCUGGCCCUCAGCGUAGUACAUCUCUCGCUCCAGGGUCCGGUGGCCGCCUGCCAGAACCCCCCAUCUCUGUGGUUGACCUCGGAUCAGGUAGGGAUACCCGCUGAACUUAAGCAUAUCAAUAAGCGGAGGA